Molecule: ribosomal RNA, 429 nt
Filed under: uncultured bacterium
Lineage: Bacteria
Description: bacterial SSU rRNA
Rfam family: Bacterial small subunit ribosomal RNA
Source: RNAcentral
GCGAACGCUGGCGGCAGGCCUAACACAUGCAAGUCGAGCGCCCAGCAAUGGGAGCGGCAGACGGGUGAGUAACACGUGGGGAUCUACCCAAUGGUACGGAAUAACCCAGGGAAACUUGGACUAAUACCGUAUGUGCCCUUCGGGGGAAAGAUUUAUCGCCAUUGGAUGAACCCGCGUCGGAUUAGCUAGUUGGUGAGGUAAAGGCUCACCAAGGCGACGAUCCGUAGCUGGUCUGAGAGGAUGAUCAGCCACACUGGGACUGAGACACGGCCCAGACUCCUACGGGAGGCAGCAGUGGGGAAUAUUGGACAAUGGGCGCAAGCCUGAUCCAGCCAUGCCGCGUGUGUGAUGAAGGCCUUAGGGUUGUAAAGCACUUUCGCCGGUGAAGAUAAUGACGGUAACCGGAGAAGAAGCCCCGGCUAACUUCGU